UCGCUUUUGUGCUGAUGCGUUUGCUUCUGCUGUAUGAAAAGCCAGAGAGAGAUGUUUUUGUUUAUAUGACAGAAAACUUGAUUCCUAAGCAAGCUCUGGUGCUUUUUAUCCCUUUGCUGAUUACUAUGUUAUCAAAACCCAAUAGAAAUUAGCUUUGGCCUUUUUUCCCGUGGAUUAGGUAAAGUUCUUUGGUUAUCAUUAUCAAGUUCUUGUGAUUACAAACUAUGAAGUUAAAUAAAUUAAAACACACUAUGAUCUCUGAAAUCAACCUGUUCUUGCAUUUUUCUGUUGUAGAAGACCAUUUUAUAAGUGUUACUCGUGGACUAUUAUACUUUAUAAUGACUUAUUUGAUACGUCUCUUAAAUAAAUUCGUAGAGGAGACACUCCACUAGCUAACAAAUAUAAUGAUCAUUUUCCACUCACAUAUUAGCAAAUAUAAUGAUCAGCUAGAGGGACGAGUUAACAAAUUUCAAAAGGAUUUUCAGCUUCUAUACUGCCCCAAGACACAUUCCACUAUUUUACAAGAAGUCAUUCUAAAAGAUACUUGGUGAAAAGUGAAUUUUGAGCGUUUGGAUUUAUACUUUUAUUUAAAUGAAAAUUUUAAAAGAUGCAACAAAAUCUUUGACUAACGAUGAUUCAAUUAUCAAGUUCAAUAACAGCAUCUGAAAGUUUGAAGAUCAGACACUUGUGUUAUUCAAUAACCUUGACUCGUUCAUGGAGAGAGAGAGACGCAAUACUUCUGUUUCCUUUGUUUCUUCUCAAAUAGCACUUGGCAUCAAAUCUUCUCACUUCAUUACAAACAUGAGAGUCGUAGGUGUAGUUAGUCUGAUCCAACAGACCUUCGAUCUCUUCUUGUUCUCCAGCUUUUCUUUUCUUGAAAAACACAAAAAUGUUCUGACUUUGAGAGAAAAGCAUUUUUGUAAUUUAAGGAAGUGUUAGUGUUUCAAGCAUGAAUUGAAUCGGU
Molecule: long non-coding RNA, 964 nt
Filed under: Eutrema salsugineum
Lineage: Eukaryota; Viridiplantae; Streptophyta; Magnoliopsida; Brassicales; Brassicaceae
Description: long non-coding RNA (ESAL_LNC000591)
Source: RNAcentral